RNAcentral lists this unclassified non-coding RNA (385 nucleotides) under uncultured Ophiostomataceae. Its description in RNAcentral is "sequence contains ITS1". The stretch from base 1 to 105 matches the Rfam family "5.8S ribosomal RNA", at positions 50 to 154 of the family's 154-position model. The record is from RNAcentral. Lineage: Eukaryota; Fungi; Ascomycota; Sordariomycetes; Ophiostomatales.
GAAGUGCGAUAAGCAAUGCGAAUUGCAGAAUUCCGCGAGUCAUCAGAUCUUUGAACGCAAAUGGCGCCGGAGGGAUAUCCUUCUGGCAUGUCUGUUUCAGUGUCUGAGAGGUUUCACCAAUAUCUUAAUGUGAUUGACUGCGGUUGCUGCAGCUUCUGCUGCUGCUGCCUGGUCUCUCAUGAAAGAUGCGCGAGUGGAUCUUUCGGUCCAAUGAAGUGGUCACAUCACUCGUAUGUGAUUUCAUUGGAAGCACCGAAUUAUCCGCCAUGCUCGCGGUCCCUUCUUUAUAUGUAGUGUGCGUGUAUCAUAUACAUACAUAUCAACAUAUAUAUAUCUCUCUCUACACCCUGCAUCUGAGAUAGGCAAGAUCACCCGCUGAACUUAA